This 329-nucleotide ribosomal RNA is filed under the name uncultured eukaryote. RNAcentral describes it as "partial 18S ribosomal RNA". It matches the Rfam family "Eukaryotic small subunit ribosomal RNA", at positions 1470 to 1796 of the family's 1831-position model. The record is from RNAcentral.
CCCUUAGAUGUUCUGGGCCGCACGCGCGCUACAAUGAUGAAUUCAACGAGUUUAUAACCUUGGUUGAAAAGCCUGGGUAAUCUUUUGAACUUUCGUCGUGAUGGGGCUAGACCCUUGCAAUUAUUGGUCUCCAACGAGGAAUUCCUAGUAAACGCAAGUCAUCAGCUUGCAUUGAUUACGUCCCUGCCCUUUGUACACACCGCCCGUCGCACCUACCGAUUGACUGGUCCGGUGAAAUCUUCGGAUUGAGACUUUGAUUUCUUCACGGAAAACGCUGUUUUAAAAAGUUGAUUAAACCUUACCAUUUAGAGGAAGGUGAAGUCGUAACA